This is a long non-coding RNA of Xenopus laevis (African clawed frog), 790 nucleotides long. RefSeq lists it as uncharacterized. The record is from RefSeq and is a predicted model, not a curated record. NCBI's taxonomy places the organism in Eukaryota, Metazoa, Chordata, Amphibia, Anura, Pipidae. The transcript has 3 exons.
UCCUGAGUUCUGUUCCAAAUCAGGAAACCCUGCAGCUAUCACCACAUCCUAACCAGGGGUAGCUCCAGAGCUCCCAAAGAGCCAAUUAGUUACUGCAGCAGAGUUAAGGCAAAUCAAUAGGAUGCACGCCAAACUAGGGUGCAUGCCAUUUUGGCAGAGGAGUAAAAUAGGGAACGAAGAGUGCCUUCAAGUCAGCCCUAUCUCCCAGGCAGAUAACAACUCAGCCACACCCUCCUCCUAGGCUAAACACACCUCCCCCAGCUGAUUGGUCAGUACACUCUAGCAUUACUUUCAAUGAAGCUGCCACAUAUGGAGUGUGUGAUGUCAUCUGCUCCUCCCUUUGGUGCUGUGCUGUGUGAUCUGCUCCUCCUGUAUCAUGGCUGCUGAAGUCUGGAGGGAAAGUGAUUUAAAAAGAGAGAAGAUUCCUGCUGAGAAGCAGAAUUUCACUGAGAAGUUUUAUGUAGGAGACUGCACAGAACAGGUGGUAAUGUGGGUGCACGGAUUUGUGAUUAUUGGUGAAGCAUGGCACCAGUGAAAAGAAAAUAUGCCACUAGGAAGGCUUCAAAAAAGACAAGGCUUUGAAACAACUCUCUUCUAUCAAAGAAGAAAUUAAGGCAGAAUCAGAGAUGUUCAACACUGCAACACAUGGAAUGGGCUUUGCUGUCAUAGAUAUUGUUGCAGCAAUAUUUGACAAAGCACUCUCGUUAAAGGAUAACUAAGCCUAACUAAAGAAGUAGGCAGAAAUGUUGUACAUUAUGUUUUGUGCUUCUGUACCAGCCCAAGGCAACCA